RNAcentral lists this transfer RNA (77 nucleotides) under Caulobacteraceae bacterium. Its description in RNAcentral is "tRNA-Pro". It matches the Rfam family "tRNA". From Rfam's summary of the family: Transfer RNA (tRNA) molecules are approximately 80 nucleotides in length. Their secondary structure includes four short double-helical elements and three loops (D, anti-codon, and T loops). RNAcentral also lists the same sequence under 3 other names. Lineage: Bacteria; Pseudomonadati; Pseudomonadota; Alphaproteobacteria; Caulobacterales; Caulobacteraceae. The record is from RNAcentral.
CGGGGUGUAGCUCAGCCUGGUAGAGCAUCAGCUUUGGGAGCUGAGGGUCGCGAGUUCGAAUCCCGCCGCCCCGACCA